Papaver somniferum (opium poppy) is the source of this 1892-nucleotide RNA transcript. It is a transcript of the gene named protein TRIGALACTOSYLDIACYLGLYCEROL 4, chloroplastic-like, with no coding region annotated. The record is from RefSeq and is a predicted model, not a curated record. NCBI's taxonomy places the organism in Eukaryota, Viridiplantae, Streptophyta, Magnoliopsida, Ranunculales, Papaveraceae. The transcript has 6 exons.
AAAUAGGAACAAGAGAGAGAGCCAAAGUAGUGAAAUGAAAUGAAAAAACACAGAUAAGGAAGAGAGAAGCAUAAGCAGAACUGAAAAGAGAAGAAACUAUGGCGAAUAUGAGAUUAGCAAUGGAUUCAACAUUCUGGGACUUAAAUGUUUCAACUCCACAAACCUUAGAUGGUUCUGCUAAAUCUAUACCUGGUGAACCUUUUCCUCUCGAUGGAGCUAAAGCUAGUCGUGUACUUAGAACUCAACAACUUCCCCUUUUAAGUAAUGGUUUUCCUCUUGGUAUUAUUCCUUCAUACUCACCUGCUUCUCAAAAGGAACUUGGUUCUUUUUCUAUGCAGUCUCUCUUGCUUAGACCUUCCACUUCCAACUGGUGGCUUGGAUUAGUUGGGCAGUUUCGUCCAAAGAAGCUCAUAACUUCUAUUAAAUCAGAAUUUUUUGCGAAUAAUGACUUUGAAUUGCCUGCAAUUAAAGACAUUGCAAAGCACAUCGUGGAUAAGUCAAUAUAUUCACUUGGUUUAUGCACACAGCUUUCUAUUGGUCCUGAUUCGUCACUGCUUCUAAGUACUGAAAAACAAGGUGACUGGAACAAACGCCGUUCAAAAGCAAAGUUAUAUCACAAGCUUCCUGAUCAUGACAUCACAAUGGAAGCAGCAUGGCCAGAGCUUUUUGUUGACCGAAAUGGAGAAUACUGGAAUGUACCUGAGUCGGUAUCUUUAGAUUUAUCAUCCAUAGUUUCAGAAUCUGGAUUGAGGUACCGUUUGGGUUUGCAAAAAGUUAGUGGCCAACCUCAACCUCUUAGUGAUUCAAUUGGUGAACCACCUUUAAGUCUGAUGCCUGGAUUAUGCGCAAAAGCUGGAUUUUCUUAUGAAAAAAGCAGGGAUAUAUGGAGACAGAAGGAGACAGAAGAGGAUAUUACAAGAAAGACAAACCAGGGUGCUUUUUGGUGGCCAUCUUAUGAUGUACGUCUUAAAGAACCUCAUGCUGCAGUAUCUGGAAUAAUUGGUGGUACCUGUACUGCCUGGUUGACGGGUAAGGGAGGGUCAACGGCUGAGGAUUCAUCAAUUCAAGUGGGAGAAAGUGGAACUGUUUCAUUGCAUCCGAAAAUAAGAAAACCAUUAAUGGCUGAUUUGUAUGGUUCUGUUUGCUAUACAUUUCAACAUGGAAAAUUCAGGAAGUCAUACGGAGACCUGACUAGGGUUGAUGCUAGAUUGGACAUUUGCUCGGCUUCUGCUUUCGCCAAAGGUGCUGCAGAUCUUGUUUCUAAUGUCUUUGGAAGUUCUUCAGCUAGCAAAGAAGUGAAUCCGCUUUCUUCCCCAAGACUUAACCUUAUAUUACAACAACAGGUCGCAGGGCCGAUUGUGUUUCGAGUAGAUUCGAAAUUUGCACUUGGCUCCACGGUGUCAGGCGGAAAGCGGGGUCCGCAUAUGGAGGACAUCAUGUACAGCUUGAAUUAUUCUCUGAGGCUUCUCCGUUCGGGGAAAGUAGUUGCUUGGUAUUCACCAAAGAGGAAAGAGGGAAUGAUUGAGCUCCGCCUUUUCGAAUUUUAAAUUCUUCCUUGCCAAUUUUUUUCACUCUAGUUGUUGGUUUAGACAAGUUAUAGGCUAUCACGGUAUGGCUGAAGUGGUGGGAACUUUCUUGAGAUGGUUCCAGGAUCAUUCCAAGGUCGUGGCCCAUGCCACAUUACCACUCAUUGGACUUUAGACUCUUAUCCUACCUGUGUCAAAAUGUGGGUUUACAACUAGAAUCCGAUUUGUACACACUCCUUUAAGGAGUGUUGAUUUGACGGAUUCAUUUGAUUGGUAAAGUUGUUAAUUUUGUGCACAAUCCUUUAAAGAGUGUUAAUUUGACUUGUUUAUUUGAUUGGUUAAAUAGUUCACGACGAGAUUGAAAUA